RNAcentral lists this non-coding RNA (133 nucleotides) under Agrilactobacillus composti. RNAcentral describes it as "Lactobacillus composti FMN sequence". It matches the Rfam family "FMN riboswitch aptamer (RFN element)". From Rfam's summary of the family: The RFN element is a highly conserved domain that is found frequently in the 5'-untranslated regions of prokaryotic mRNAs that encode for flavin mononucleotide (FMN) biosynthesis and transport proteins. This element is a metabolite-dependent riboswitch that directly binds FMN in the absence of proteins. Lineage: Bacteria; Bacillati; Bacillota; Bacilli; Lactobacillales; Lactobacillaceae. RNAcentral also lists the same sequence under 1 other name. The record is from RNAcentral.
AGAUUUCUUCGGGGCAGGGUGUAAUUCCCGACCGACGGUGACAACCCUUGGGUUGAAGUCCGUGACCCGCGUGAGCGGUGGACCUGGUGUGAGUCCGGGACCGACAGUAAAGUCUGGAUGGUAGAAGAAGAAA